UACCCUAUUGUUUUAUUGAUUGAGGGUUUCAAAUAAGAAAUGUAAUAAAAUUACAGCCUCUUUGGUUGAAUGGAAUGAGCCAUUCAUUCAGGCCAUAUUCAGUGGGCCCACUACAAUGCAAUUUUCGGAUCAUUGUAAUCUGUUAUUACAGUCGGGUCUGUUUAGUUCUUUCUUCCUCAAAAACACAGAAUGUCAUUUCUUGCUCCCAACAUUGAAUUGUAAUUACACGCAUUGAGGAAUACAGAAAAAAACCAUAACCUACUAUUACUAUCAUUUAUCACUCUCCCUCACCAAGCACUUCAAGUCAUUACACCCCCAGUCAUGUUUCCUCAUUCCCGUUCGAUUUCAGAUAGUUAUGUCAGGCUUUUAAUAAUCAAGUGUUUCUUCCCAAAAUUCUCAAGGAACCAAAAGAAAAUGGGUUCCAGAAGAAGAUGUUGCAUUGGUUGAUUGUACAGUCAACUUGUACAAUGUUGGAACCUGUAAUAUAGAUACAAGAUUCAAGGUCAGUUAUUUAAAUGAGCUGAAAAGAAUGUUAGAAAAAUUUUUACCUCAUUCUAUGCUGAAGGCUAAACCUAAUCUUGAAUCGAGGAUUAAGACAUUGAAAAGGGAUUGGGCAAUCAUUUACGACAUGCUCAGUGGAAAAGACAACAGUGAUUUUGGUUGGGACGAGCAUAGGCAGAUGGUUGUUACUAAAGAUGCUGUGUGGAACUCAUAUAUAAGUAGUCAUAAAGCAGUCGGUCAAUUUAGACAUCACAGUUUCUCUUACUAUGACCAACUUACUUCCAUCUAUGCAAAAGAUCGAGCCAUUAAGAAAUAUGCUCAAACAACUACAAAUAUUGUUAAAGAAAUAGAUGUUGAGGAUGUAGCUACUGCAAAUAAUCUUGAAGAAGGAAACACUUACCAUGAAUGCGAAAAUGAUGUCUCCUUGGAUGAGAUGGAUAUCUAGGCUACACAAUCGCAACCGACAAAGACAAAUCAAUAUGGUUCCACAUUUUCAAAGAAGAAAACAAAAUUUAAUGGAAGUGAAAAAAUUUCUACUUUAAUUACUGAUGUUACCAAAUUAUUGGGGGAAAGCAUAAAGACUAUUGGCCUUGAAUUAAAACUAUAUACGGCCUUAUGUGAAGUAGAAAGAUUAACUGAGGAUGAGCGCUAUCGUGCAUUGAGCUCAUUUUCUUUAGUCUACAUUCUUUUGUGCGAUUAGAAUGGGUGAGAAGAUUUCUUUCUGACCAUUAAAAA
Molecule: long non-coding RNA, 1236 nt
Organism: Gossypium raimondii (Peruvian cotton)
Lineage: Eukaryota; Viridiplantae; Streptophyta; Magnoliopsida; Malvales; Malvaceae
Exons: 3
Source: RefSeq, a predicted model, not a curated record